CCACACCCACACCCACACAGAUUAUUUCUCUUUCUCAUUCAAUUCAUUUGACUAAAGGAAACUCGGGAUUGGUCCGGUGGUUUAGGUCAGCGAUUUUGAGGUAUGCUCAUCAUCAGGGUUUUAGAUUUAAAACUUUAUAGUUGCUAUAAAUUCUUAAAUUGAGUCACUCCAAAUUGAGAUUUUCUCUGAUUUUAAUCUGGAGAAUUAGUUUUUCGAAUUAAUUAAUCAGUUAUUGAGUUGUAUACUGAGUUAUCAGAAUUUCAUUUAACCGAAGGUCAAAGUUAUGAAGCACAUGUAUAUUUUGACCUAGGAAGAGCUCUGCCCCUCCAUAUCUACAUCCACGACCACCACCCCUUCUCUCUCUCACAUCCACAUCCACACCCACACCCACAUGCCCACAAAAAUAGAUUAAUUCUUUUUCUCAUUCAACUCAUUUAACUAAAGGAAACUCUAGGUUGACUCGGUGGUUUAGGUCUGAGAUUUCGAG
This 487-nucleotide long non-coding RNA is filed under the name Actinidia chinensis (golden kiwifruit). RNAcentral's name for it is "long non-coding RNA (ACHI_LNC008008)". The record is from RNAcentral. Lineage: Eukaryota; Viridiplantae; Streptophyta; Magnoliopsida; Ericales; Actinidiaceae.